GCGACUGGCCAAAGAGAAGCACCCCUCUGCGCAGAAGUAAAAUUGCUUUGCUAAGAAUCCUUUAUUUGAGUGUUCAAUUUCCUUAGGAUUUUGAACGUUAUUCCCAACAAUUCUGGUGCCCAAAUGUGGGACUCAAAUAUUCUCCUUCGGGAAGGGGGUCUUCGCUCACCCCACCCAGGGGGGAUGCAUCCCACUGUCUAGUUACAGUGGCCUGAGGGUGAAGGGAGAUCAGGUCCCACGUGUUGUGACGAAUAAAUCUGGGUUCUCAGCAAAGUGGACAGGAGAGGCUUGCAAGACCACGGCAAUAAGAGGACCAGGUGCUGAUAACCAGAUAGGAUGGUGUUCUUGCUGUGUAAGCAUGCUAGCCUUGGAAAUGAAUGCACUGUGGUAACCUAGAAUAAAUUUUUAUUACAAAGAAAAUGCAUUUACAUCUAGAAAAUGAAGACAAAAGAGAAGAAAAUUAAAAUGUCCUGCAGGCUGGGUGAGGUGGCUCAUACCUGUAAUCUCAGCACCAUGGGAGUCCAAAGCAGGAUUGCUCAAGACCAGACUGUCCUGGACAACAUAGCAGGAUCUCAUCUCUACAACAACAACAACUUAGCCAGGUCCACACUGCCUUUAUGAGCUGUAACACUCACCGCGAAGGUCUGCAGCUUCACUCCUGAGCCAGUGAGACCACUUAACCCACCAGAAGGAAGAAACUCCAGACACAUCCGAACAUCAGAAGGAACAAACUCUGGACACGCCACCUUUAAGAACUGUUAACACUCACUGCGAGGGUCCGUGGCUUCAUUCUUGAAGUCAGUGAGACCAAGAACCCACCAAUUCUGGACACACUAGUCCCUGCUUGAAAGCCACGUAACCAGUGAGGACCCCCAUGACAGCCCUGGAUAAAUAGUACCCCUCCUACCUUCCUGACACUUCCUAAUCCCUCUGACUGCUUUAGUUUUCUUCAUAACUCAAAUCGUCUUAUGUAUUUAGUGGCUUUUUUUUCCUCCCUUCCCUACUAGAAUAUAUGGCAAGGUCUGUGUUCUUUUCCCUUGGAUAUAGAUGGACCUUCUGACUGCUUGACUAAUAGACAAUGGUAAAUGUGACCAUAUUGCUGGGACCAUGGUCCAGGUUGCUGGGACCAGGCCUUAAAAAAUUGGAGGUUUCUUCUUCCUUUUUUUGAGAUGGAGUCUCGCUCUGUCACCCAGGCUGGAGUGCAGUGGCGUGAUCUCAGCUCACUGCAAGCUCUGCCUCCUGGGUUCACAACUUUCUCCUGCCUCAGCCUCCCAAGUAGC
Molecule: long non-coding RNA, 1280 nt
Organism: Gorilla gorilla gorilla (western lowland gorilla)
Lineage: Eukaryota; Metazoa; Chordata; Mammalia; Primates; Hominidae
Exons: 4
Source: RefSeq, a predicted model, not a curated record